This 541-nucleotide long non-coding RNA is filed under the name Homo sapiens (human). Its description in RNAcentral is "HSALNT0219283". Lineage: Eukaryota; Metazoa; Chordata; Mammalia; Primates; Hominidae. The record is from RNAcentral.
CAGGGGGACAGAUUAUAAAUUUAGAAAGUAUAGUCAGAGAAGGAAGUCUUAUCAAUGUGAUAUUUGAGUGAGGACCCAAAGGAGGUAGCUGGAAUGUGGAUGCCAGUGGAGGAGAGGAGACGGUGGGUUUGAGAGACAUAGGAGACAGAAUCAACAGGACUCAGAGCCAAUCAGUAGGAUGACGGGAGUGAAGGAGAAAGCUGAGUCAAAAAGAUUUUGAUUAGAGGUGACACAGGGCCACUGUAGACCCCUGCGCAGGCGGCACACCACGCAGCCUGCCGAAGUGUACGUGGUGGCCCUGGGUGUCUGGAGAUGGUGAUGCUGUUCAGCAGGACCCAAACCAUAGCCGAGCCCUUCCUUUUCCUCCAUUGGUGUCAUCUGGUAGUUUGUCUUCCCGGGUAAGAAGGUUGUAAAUUUCUUAAGAUGAUGAUUGUGUCAUCCCUGAUAGCCCCAGAUUAGCCAAGCCAAGUGCUGAGCACAUUCCUGGUGCUCAGUAAAUGUCACUGUUAAAGGGGGCUUCCCAGAGCCACACAACACCCAG